CCUACGGGUGGCAGCAGUGGGGAAUAUUGCACAAUGGGGGAAACCCUGAUGCAGCCACGCCGCGUGAGUGAAGAAGUAUUUCGGUAUGUAAAGCACUAUCAGUAGGGAAGAAGAAAGACGGUACCUGACUCAGAAGACCCGGCUAACUACGAGCCAGCAGCCGCGGUAAUACGGAGGGGGCAAGCGUUAGCCGGAUUUACUGGGUGUAAAGGGAGCGUAGACGGCUGUGCAAGUCUGAAGUGAAAGCCCGUGGCUCAACCGCGGAACUGCUUUGGAAACUGGAUAGCUAGAGUAGUGGAGAGGCAGGCGGAAUUCCUGGUGUAGCGGUGAAAUGCGUAGAUAUUAGGAGGAACACCAGUGGCGAAGGCGGCCUGCUGGACAGAAACUGACGUUGAGGCUCGAAAGCGUGGGGAGCAAACAGGAUUAGAUACCCCGGUAGUC
RNAcentral lists this ribosomal RNA (441 nucleotides) under uncultured bacterium. Its description in RNAcentral is "partial 16S ribosomal RNA". It matches the Rfam family "Bacterial small subunit ribosomal RNA", at positions 338 to 795 of the family's 1533-position model. The record is from RNAcentral.